GCGGAGUUAGCUCAGUUGGUAGAGCACGAGAUUGUGGCUCUCGGUGUCACGGGUUCGAUUCCCGUACUUCGCCCCA
This 76-nucleotide transfer RNA is filed under the name Thiospirillum jenense. RNAcentral describes it as "tRNA-His". It matches the Rfam family "tRNA". Rfam says of the family: Transfer RNA (tRNA) molecules are approximately 80 nucleotides in length. RNAcentral also lists the same sequence under 1 other name. Lineage: Bacteria; Pseudomonadati; Pseudomonadota; Gammaproteobacteria; Chromatiales; Chromatiaceae. The record is from RNAcentral.